CGGCAAAAAUGUCGAAGCGAGGGCGCGGAGGAUCUGCAGGUAACAAGUUUAGGAUGUCACUGGGUCUACCAGUGGCGGCGACGGUGAAUUGUGCCGACAACACUGGAGCCAAGAACUUGUACAUCAUCUCAGUGAAGGGUAUCAAGGGUCGUUUGAACAGAUUACCAUCGGCUUGUGUGGGAGACAUGGUGAUGGCCACUGUCAAAAAAGGAAAGCCCGAUCUCAGGAAGAAGGUCCUUCCUGCUGUCAUUGUCAGGCAGCGCAAG
Molecule: unclassified non-coding RNA, 266 nt
Filed under: Hevea brasiliensis (rubber tree)
Lineage: Eukaryota; Viridiplantae; Streptophyta; Magnoliopsida; Malpighiales; Euphorbiaceae
Source: RNAcentral